RNAcentral lists this transfer RNA (72 nucleotides) under Cyanobacteria bacterium UBA11372. Its description in RNAcentral is "tRNA-Asp". It matches the Rfam family "tRNA". Rfam says of the family: Transfer RNA (tRNA) molecules are approximately 80 nucleotides in length. Their secondary structure includes four short double-helical elements and three loops (D, anti-codon, and T loops). Lineage: Bacteria; Bacillati; Cyanobacteriota. The record is from RNAcentral.
GGAUUGGUAGCUCAAUUGGAAGAGCCUGCCCUGUCACGGCAGAGGUUGGGAGUUCGAGCCUCCCUCAGUCCC